GCCGGGCAUAGUGGUGCAUGCCUGUAGUCCCAGCUACUCAGAAGGCUGAGGUGGGAGGAUCGCUUGAGCCCAGGAGGUCAAGGCUGCAGUGAGCUGUGAUUGCACCACUGCACCCCAGCCUGAGCGACAGAGCAAGACCCUGUCUCAA
Molecule: non-coding RNA, 148 nt
Filed under: Pan paniscus (pygmy chimpanzee)
Lineage: Eukaryota; Metazoa; Chordata; Mammalia; Primates; Hominidae
Also listed under: 1 other name
Source: Rfam by way of RNAcentral